AAAUGGGCAGCUCACUGGCACUCAUCCCUGGUGGUCUCCUGCCAUGUGAUGGCAAGCUGGCAAGCGGAAGGAGGCAAUGGCCCGGUGCUGGGAUGCUGUGGAGCAAGGAGAAGGCAAGUACAAAGUUUACUUGCUGGUGGGAUCGCUACUUGAAGGCGACUGAUAUUCAGCUCUGAAGCUAGUUGAUGUCUGGCAAUGGACCUGGCGAGGCUGCAGCUGGUGGAUGGUGUGAGGAGUUUUCAUUCAGGCUAGUGGAUGCCACGAGGCUAGGCUGGCUGAGAUGGAUGCAAACUGGUUUGGAAGCCUUGUUUGUGAACAGGCAGCCAAACAGAGGAUGAGUCGGGGGGGGGAUGCUGCGGAUGGGGGCCAUCCCACUCACCUGUUUGCCUUUGCCUUACAGGGAUGUCUGGAGCCGGUGAGGUUUUCCCCAAGUCCAGCCUUCAAAGUCAUGAAGAGAACCGCAGGACGUCCCUAUUUAAAUUGGAGAAAUGAACCUGAAAAACUGACAGUGAGCUAUGGACAAGGCCGUGGCCAGACCUGAGCGAAGGAGCUUUGAAGGGAGACUGCAGGCGGACAUCUGCUGCAUUGCAAGUGAUGGGGCAGUGGGGAGAGAGAAGAAAAUGAGGGCCACAUUAGGCGCACCAUUGGAAGUGCUAUGAAGACGCUUUGAACAGGAAUGGCUUCUCCUCAGGGAUUCUGGGAACUGUAGGUGGUUAAGGGGACGGAGAUUUGCUAGGGGGGUUACGUUUAGGGUAGGGGUUAGGGGUAGGGGUAGGGGUUCCCUUCUUGCCAGGGAACUCUGGGAAUUGUAGCUAUAGUUAAGGGUUAGAGUUAGGGUUAGCGUCAGGUGUAGGGUUAGGGUUCCCUUCUUGCCAGGGAACUCUGGGAGUUGUAGCUCUAGUUAAGUGUUAAGGGUUAGCAUUAGAGUUAGGGUUAGCGUCAGGGGUAGGGGUAGGAGUAGAGUUCCCUUCUUGGCAGGGAACUCUGGGAGGGGAGCAGGGCUGUCUCCUAACAGCUCUCUGCACCCUUUUCAAACUAUAGCUCCCAGAUUCUUUGGGGAAGAAGCCAUGAGUGUUUAAAGCGGCUUCAUAGCGCUUUAAAUGGUGUGGAUGUGGCCCUUGCCUCCCUCACCCCACUGCCUCUUAUUAUUGAGGAAUCGAAAGGAUUUCCCCACUCAAAUCUCUCGGAAACAGGAAGAAGAAAGACUUUGCAUCUGAUGCCAUUUUGAAAUGUCUUAACUUAAAAUGCCAAUAAAAGUAUUUGGAUUGUA
Podarcis lilfordi (Lilford's wall lizard) is the source of this 1270-nucleotide non-coding RNA. The record is from the annotation of a GenBank genome assembly. Lineage: Eukaryota; Metazoa; Chordata; Lepidosauria; Squamata; Lacertidae.